RNAcentral lists this long non-coding RNA (1218 nucleotides) under Homo sapiens (human). RNAcentral's name for it is "HSALNT0051940". The record is from RNAcentral. Lineage: Eukaryota; Metazoa; Chordata; Mammalia; Primates; Hominidae.
GAGACUCUUGUUACUUCCUGUGGAACCCGUGGAUUGGAAGGUUAUCUAGGCUGCUGCAGAACUCUUCCACCCUGUGCACAGAGAAGUACAUAAAGUGGGAUCUUUCUCAGUGGAGCAGUAUAUAAAACAGAUGCAGACUGAAGGAUGUUAGAAGCACAAAGAAGGUCAUGUGCACGACAUUCAGCUGAGUACAAAAUUCAACAUCUGGAAGAGGUUAAAGACUACACCUGCAGGUUUGUUGCAUGAGUAAAUUCCUGAUUCUGAGGCUUGGAGUUACAAUGAUCCCAUUACUCAGGCAGUGAGAAUAUUACCCAACACGUAGAUCUUCAAGGCUCCAGAUUGUUCUACUCCUGAUGUCAGGAGGAAGCUGAUUUACCUUUGGAAUGAGAUAACCUCUGGGAUCCCUGAACAGUUAAAGGGCAGACGGAAAUAAGGCUUGGCAAUGAAGAUGGACAAGGAACAUAUGCCAGUGCACAUCUAUUAUAAGCCAUUUAUCCCAGACUGUGAUGCAAGUGUGCUUAAGUCUGAAAUGCAAGUGACUCGUACUUACAGGCAAAAUACAUUCCAGCUGAGGAAAAAAGGAUUUUUGUUGCUGAUUUAAUGGAGUGACAGCCUUUCAGAAGUCUUUAAAUUCACCAUUUUCACUGAUGUCACCCUGUUACCAGAAAGGAGUCCUAAUUCUGACCCCAAGAGAAGGUCCUUAAAUCUCGUGCAAGAAAGAUUUCAGGAUUCAAAGAAUUAGCUGGACUAUGUCUCCAGGUGGAUGACUCUAUGGAAACUUUGAGCUGUAUGGAACAACCUCCUGAUCAUCCAUUUACCUUGCUUUGGUACAUUAGGACUUUAAUAGAAACUGCCUAAUGUGCAGGUAAGUCAGCAAGAAAUGAAAUAUGGGUCAUUAUUCAGUGGUACCAAUUGAGCAGAGCAGCCAAAUGUAAAUCAUUGAGAAAUGGGAAUGGUUCAUCCCGUUUUGCAAUUUGAAGUAAGUCUAAAGACUUCAUGUGGCAGAGAGGUCCCAGGGUUCACUUUGGAAAGCUGAGCAGCAAGUUUCUCUCUUCUAAGGGUCCAUCUGAUACUAACAAUUCUAAUCUCUGGCAAAUGGAAGCACAGACUGUAUUUUUCCCUAUGCUCUCUAAUUGUCUAACAAUAACCUUCAUGUACAUAUGUUAUACUAUGUGACUUUCAGUUUGUCACUUGGGUUUUCCAAACCUCACUUAAUUC